CGGAUCCGACUGCUAUCCGGGUAAGACUAAGCCAUGCCAGUUGAAUGGAAUCGCAGAUUCCAUGGCAUACUGCUCAGUAACAAGUGAUCAACUUACCCUGUAGUGGAGUAUAACCUCGGGAAACUGAGGCUAAUCCUCCAUAGUUGGAGCGUCCUGGAAUGGUGCUCCAUCGAAAGAUACGGCGUUAUGUCGCCGAUUCGCUGCAGGAUAGGAUCGCUCUCGAUUACGGUAGUUGGUGAGGUAAUGGCUCACCAAGCCUAUGAUCGAUAAGGGCCGUGAGAGCGGGAGCCCUGAGAUGGAUACUGAGACAAUGAUCCAGGCCUUACGAGGCGCAGCAGGCGCGAAACCUUUACAAUGCACGCAAGUGCGAUAAGGUUACCCGGAGUGCCGAGAGAAAAACUGUCGGCUGUUAUAGGUGUGUAAACUACCCUAUGAGAAAGGAGAGGGCAAGGCUGGUGCCAGCCGCCGCGGUAAAACCAGCUCUUCAAGUGGUCGGGACUUUUAUUGGGCUUAAAGUGUCCGUAGCCGGUUUGAUAAGUUCCUGGUAAAAUCUGGCAGCUUAACUGUCAGUUCGCUAGGAAUACUAUCUUACUAGAGGGUGGGAGAGGUCUGAGGUACUCCAGGGGUAGCGGUGAAAU
This 638-nucleotide ribosomal RNA is filed under the name uncultured archaeon. RNAcentral's name for it is "bacterial SSU rRNA". It matches the Rfam family "Archaeal small subunit ribosomal RNA", at positions 18 to 638 of the family's 1478-position model. The record is from RNAcentral.